AGAACGAACGCUGGCGGCAUGCCUAACACAUGCAAGUCGAACGAGACCUUCGGGUCUAGUGGCGCACGGGUGCGUAACGCGUGGGAAUCUGCCCAAAGGUUCGGAAUAACUCAGGGAAACUUGAGCUAAUACCGGAUGAUGUCGCAAGACCAAAGAUUUAUUGCCUUUGGAUGAGCCCGCGUAGGAUUAGCUUGUUGGUGAGGUAAAGGCUCACCAAGGCUACGAUCCUUAGCUGGUCUGAGAGGAUGAUCAGCCACACUGGGACUGAGACACGGCCCAGACUCCUACGGGAGGCAGCAGUGGGGAAUAUUGGACAAUGGGCGAAAGCCUGAUCCAGCAAUGCCGCGUGAGUGAUGAAGGCCCUAGGGUUGUAAAGCUCUUUUACCCGGGAAGAUAAUGACUGUACGGGAGAAUAAGCCCGGCUAACUCCGCGCCAGCAGCCGC
Molecule: ribosomal RNA, 444 nt
Filed under: uncultured bacterium
Lineage: Bacteria
Description: SSU rRNA
Rfam family: Bacterial small subunit ribosomal RNA
Source: RNAcentral